This 478-nucleotide ribosomal RNA is filed under the name uncultured bacterium. RNAcentral describes it as "partial 16S ribosomal RNA". It matches the Rfam family "Bacterial small subunit ribosomal RNA", at positions 28 to 507 of the family's 1533-position model. The record is from RNAcentral.
GAUGAACGCUGGCGGCGUGCUUAACACAUGCAAGUCGAACGAGAAGUGGAGACGGAAACCUUCGGGCGGAAGACUUUACUUCGAGUGGCGGACGGGUGAGUAACGCGUGGGUAACCUGCCUCAUACAGGGGGAUAACAGUUGGAAACGACUGUUAAUACCGCAUAAGACCACAGCACCGCAUGGUGCGGGGGUAAAAACUCCGGUGGUAUGAGAUGGACCCGCGUUCGAUUAGCCAGUUGGCGGGGUAACGGCCCACCAAAGCGACGAUCGAUAGCCGAUCUGAGAGGAUGACCGGCCACAUUGGGACUGAGACACGGCCCAAACUCCUACGGGAGGCAGCAGUGGGGAAUAUUGCACAAUGGGGGAAACCCUGAUGCAGCGACGCCGCGUGAGUGAAGAAGUAUUUCGGUAUGUAAAGCUCUAUCAGCAGGGAAGAAAAUGACAGUACCUGAGUAAGAGGCCCCGGCUAACUACGUG